UUUGACAAAAUGACACUUAAGACUGGUUUUGUGCUUCAGGGUCACUUAUAAUCAUAAUAUAAAAGCGUAAUAAUGCAAGAAGGCCAACACACUUUCAAAUGACAAAACAUUUUUAAGAAUAUUUAGAUCAUGGAAAUUAAGUAUCAACAUAUUAGACACCUUAAAAAAGUCUAAUUUCUAACAAAAAGUGCACGUAGAAAAAAUGCACAAAGGACUUUUUCCAUCUACAGGUUUUUCCCGGACCUUCUUUUCUCGUAAACGAAGGGUGCACACUAUUGCUGUGAAACACGAUCACUACUCACAGAUCCAGAUUAAACUUCGUUUUGUAGAAGCAUUUUAAUUAAAUUUGAACUACACCACGUUAUGCACAAGAAGCUGCAAAAGAGAUGAGCGCAAGUGGACAUUAACGUUUAUGUAAAUGUAACGCUCGAUAUAUUACGUCCCCAAACAUGAUUGAGCUCAUGCACACAUGAAUGUAUUGAUUAUUGCGACAGGCCUAUAGGGAAUCAUUUUUUGUAUCUGUGUUUGAUGAGGCAUCAACACGCCAGUAAUGUCUGGAGGACAGUGUUGAGUGGGUGUUUGAGUUUUUGUGAACUUGUCAUGAGAACAUUUAUACUUUGAAUAUGCUGUAUAAAAGAGAAAUAAAACAUUUUUCAGACUUGGA
Cyprinus carpio (common carp) is the source of this 664-nucleotide long non-coding RNA. RefSeq lists it as uncharacterized. Lineage: Eukaryota; Metazoa; Chordata; Actinopteri; Cypriniformes; Cyprinidae. The transcript has 2 exons. The record is from RefSeq and is a predicted model, not a curated record.